UAAAGAUGCAAAGAAAGGUAAUGUUGAAGCAAGGACAGAAAAAUUGACUUGAGGAAAGUUAAGCAAAGAAGUGCAGUAAAAGUAAUAAAAGUGGUUUAGGCAAGCAGGGGCAGCUACAGCUUACAUGAUUCAUAGAUGAAAAACCCUGACAGCAUCUCAUUAGAAACUCAGAUUUAAAUCAGCAUCACCAUUAAGGCCAGUCCAGGCACUUAUUUUUGAAAGUUUUCUUGAAAGUGGAGUGCAGUCAAGUGACAUUUGAUUGGAAAAAAAUGACAUUCAUGAAGUUCAUAUCCAGACCCAUUAUAUUCUCAAGAGAGGUUGAGACAAGAAAGCUACUAUUGAAUCAACCAAAUACAGAAUCUCCACUGCUCAUGAAACAGCGACUCAAAAGUGACACUACUUCCUCCCAUCCUAACGUCUCAAGUGGAUACCAGUACUCCCCCCUAAGAUUUGACAAAUUGAUAGUAGCACCUCCACUGGCCAUGCAUCUGAACUUCAAGAGCCAUUUCACUCCUUUACCCUCUACCUUGCCUCUAAGUGGAGUCAAACCCUGGAUGACACAGCAAGUUGCCUGGAAUAAUAUCUUUGCCCUCAGAACCCUGGAAUUCGAAGCAGCCUCAAGCAUGUUUCUUCUGAAACUGUGAUUUCAGCCUAAUAGGAGCAGAGUGAUUUUGCACAAAAACCAACACUCAUCAACUGCACCAUCAUACAUAGGUGUUGAGGUUGAUCUGUCAGUUCAGGAAGAGGAAACAAUAACUUCAUUAGAAAGAAAUUCCCUUUUCUCUCUUUUUUUUUCUCAGCAAUAGCUAAAACAGUUUUCAUUUUAAUGUUGGGUUGGGUAUUAUAACAUUUAAUCAAUUUAGAAUCCACAAAACAAAGAUGAACCUGCUAAACUAUUUUCUCUGAACGCCUGUUUCCCAAAUCAUUAAUAUUUCAUCCAUCAUUAAUCAAAGCAGUGUAUACUGUACAUAUUGCACUUCAUACAUACUCAUAUAUUAAAAAGAACAUUUGCACUAUUAAAAAGAAAACUUGCAAUACUUUUUUACUUUUUCAGUAGCAUAUGAUCUGCUGUUGGAUGAUGCACUUUCAAAGGACACUUUCUCUUUGUAUAAUGUAACCAGAUAUUUAUGUGCAAUUAUGAUUAUUAUUAUUAUUUUUCUCACCAGAAACGUUAACUUUGUACUUAGGUUAUCAUCUUGAACAGGUGUGAAAUAUCUGCCCUAUAAAGAAAGAGAGGAUUGUUUAUUUUAAUCUUAUCUUUAAGCAGAUCAUUUUGUUUUGAAUCAAACUAUAUAUGCAUUAAUUAUUAUGGGCCAUGUUACAUUUGACAGUGAAGAAAAUUCACUGUUUCCUUAUUCAGUCCACAUUUUCUAGCCCUGUUUAAAUUAAUUUUAUUAAAUUGUUUGUGUUUAAAGAGACUAUUCAACAAGUUUAAUAAAGAAAACCUACAUAACAUGAGGAACUUUCCCACAUAAAUACCUUUGGACUUAAGUCACCAACUGUGAAUAACGGCCCUCGGUUAUUA
Long non-coding RNA from Ictalurus furcatus (blue catfish), 1525 nucleotides. RefSeq lists it as uncharacterized. The transcript has 7 exons. NCBI's taxonomy places the organism in Eukaryota, Metazoa, Chordata, Actinopteri, Siluriformes, Ictaluridae. The record is from RefSeq and is a predicted model, not a curated record.